AUGGAUCUCAAAACUAUGAUUUCUUUACUCAUUUAUUUGAAAUUUAAUUUUAUUUGUAUCUUUCCUUUCUUUAGUUGUCUUAAAUUCUUCUUUGAGACAAGAUGGGAUAAAGCCAAUAAAUCAGUAACUGACAUAAAUAACAAGGGCCUUCCAGAUUUACACAAUGCUUGCAGGGAUAAUUCACCACACCUGAAAAUCUAUCGCUAUCCAGUUGUUGAGACAGAAAGUCAAAUCCAGCAUCAGCUUCCUCUAUUUUUGACAUCUUCAGUUCCCCAAAAAGAAUUUCACAUGUGUGUGCAAACUGGAGGGGUCAAGGCUGGUGUUAAGAAGGAAAAGGACUUGAGGGGGCUCUAGAGCAGUAUGCGGGAAAGUUGGAAGGGACCUGCGCAAAGACAAAGGCUGGGGUUGUCUUUAUGUAUGUGGAUGUAGAAAGGACACCCAAGGAGUACAAAAUCUGUGUUAGGAAUCAGUGGGAGAAUGAAGUGAUCUGAAGAAAAAAAUCAAGCUGUACAGCACCAGCCACUUAAACUUGGCAGAGAAUGUGUACCUGCCACAGCAGGCUUAUGCACACCUGGCUAGGAAAGAGGCAGGCAGACCAGUUAGAAGGCUGCUGCCACACUAGAUGAUGAGGUCCUGAGCUAGGGUAUCCUGGCAUAAAAAAGAAGCACAGGUAUUAGCAGAAUUUCAUGGGGUGGGCAUACAUCUUUUGGGACUCAGAACCUCCUUUUGCCUGAAGCUAAUUGGAUCCCAGGGGCAUUAAAUCCCUGACCUGGGCCUCAUUAGCACAAGUCCUGCCCACUGGAGUGCACCAGCGUGGGUGCUGAUCUUAAUAGGUUGCUAUUUUUACUGCUGGAGACUAAAAGAAGUAUUUAGUUUCUAUAUAACCAUACAUAGAAUAGAGAAAACUUUACAGAGCCUUUGCUAUCUUAGUGUUUUCUUUUUUUUUAGUAAAAUAGGAGUAAUUUGGGAAAUUGUCACGCUGACCACAUUUUUCUCUUCCUUGUUAGGUUGGGUCUUGGUCGGGUCUUGGGGUCAAGGUGUCUGAGAUAAACACUCUUAGAGAAGUUCAAUUUCAGAAGAAUUCUAUUAAAUUUUAGAUUUUCUUUGUUUACAUAUUAACAGAAUUUACUAAGAUCCAAACAUACAAAAACUUGAAAACAUCCAAUUAGAUUUCUUUACAUGUUAACUUUUAAUUCAAAUAUUUGUCAUCCUGCAGAUAAUACUGUUUGGUCUAUAAAACACAUAGUAAAGUAAAAAUGUGGUAAUUACUCCAUCCACUUGAAUCAUAUAAAAAGUCAAAACAAAAUGAGGAUUACAAAGUGAUUUCAUGCCCAAGUACUUGGGCCAAGUCUUUAAUUAACUGGCUGGCUGCCAAAAUUCACUUUACUUUGUUCUUUGAUGACACAGCCAAUGAAAAGAAACAAGUCAUAAGAAGAUAGGUUGGGGAUGGAACAGCAAAUUGCUUUUAAAAAUUAAGCAUUUAGUUAUUAGAUUUUGCUUGGGUCUUUCUAGCUUAAUUUAAAUCUUUUCAUAUUCUGAAUGUACUUGCUUGAUCAAAUUUUAAUUUGCUAUAAAAGAACACAUGAAUCAAAGUUAAAUAUUAAAGUGUCUGGGAUUUUAAAUACAAUAUUUUAAAAUGAUCAAAUCAAAUGUUUAAACUCAAGUGCUCACCCUGACAGAAUAAGUUGUCUGGGAGUCCACAAGCAGGUGGGAAGUGCUCACUGAUCCAGGCCAGGAGCAGCUGCAUGAGGUCAUGGUUCUGUGUUAUCACCCAGACAUUAGCCAUUUGCACAGCGAAUGCUACAAGGGAUGUGAUGACACCUAGCUACAGCUUGAAUGUGUGUUUGAGAUAUAAAUAUGUUCCGUGGGUAAACAACCUCUAAAACGUAGGAUUACAGGAUAAGAAUCCUCAGGAUUAGGAGGAGCUGUCAUUGCACUCAUAAACCACAGUAAGAAAGGUAGAAGAAAAAUAGUACUGUAUUCAUUACCAGGUCAAGGGUCCGUUUCCCUUGGGAAAAUGAGACAGCAGUGUCAGCUACCUCAUUAGCAUGAAGUAGCACUUAAGAGAGUAGGUUUGGUGUGAGGCUAGUUUUUACCACUUACUACAUCUGUCACAUUUGCAACUUGCUUAAUUUCUGUUAUCUCAGUUUCCCUGCCUAUGAAAUGGGGAUGAUUAUAGUCUCUGCCUCACAGAGUUGAUGUAUGGUUUAAAUAGUUAACAUGUACAUUUUCAAAUGUACAGAAAUGCUCAAAUGGAGUUUAUUAAGCAUGUAAGUAAAUAAAUAAAUAAAUAACAAAUUGCCCCAAAUCAGGUAUAAAGCAGGGACCUGCCAGGGGUUUACCAGUAACUAACCCUUUUUUGAACAACCUGUAUAGCUACUUAAUCAAUACUGUCUCUGUUUUAAAAACAUGCUCUCUGUAGGGCUCUUUAAAAUAGUGAGUGUAGAUAGCACAACAGUGAGAUAACGGAGUUAUUUCUAGAAGGAAGGGUAUUCAGAAGAGUAAAGCUUUGUUUUUAUUCUCAUGUUAUAGGUACUUGGGCACAGAGGUCUUCCAUUCUAGUGGGGCUAAGUAAUUUAUUAUUGAUUUAAACAUUGUUUUCUAAAUUACCAAAAAUAUUGCACUGGCACAUGGUUUAUUUCUCAUCCACAUCAUAAUAUGCUCAGGGAAAAUGCCUCUCUUUAGUGGUCCUUCUCCAUGUGGUGACUUGGGGGCCCAAAAUCCUUCUGUAUUAAAGCACAUCUUAAAUUUGGGAUCCCUCAGUUUGCCGCAGAAAAAGCAAAGGAGGUCUGUCUUUAAAUAAUUAAUUCACAAAUUUAUCCCAAAACAAAAUAAGAAAGGGAGACAAAAGGUAUCAUGUUGCCUUCCCUUAGGAAUACCUGUAGCCCCAAAGAGCAGAGGACAGUAUGACUCAUGCGCCAGAGUCAGGCAGUCUUGGUUGGAGUCAGUGGGUCCUAAGGCAAUUUGCAGCCGUGGAGAUAGCAGGUCUUUAAUACACAUUAGAUGAACUUAGCAAAUGAAUUAAAACUAACAAAACAUCCUGAAUCUGUCUCUCUUUUAGCCCUGCAAUUUUUCUUGGAACCUAUGACAACUUUGCUGAUUUUCUAAUUUCCCUUGAGAAUCACUUCAAAGAAGGACUAGGAAGAAAGAAAAAAAAAAAGGAAUAUUGACAAAGGAUAGGAAGUGUAGCUUAGAAGCCCUGCAAAACUGGCUUUUUUUUUUUUUAAAUGGAUGUAUGAUUAUCUGACAAAUGGUACACAAAGAGCCGUGAGGACUUCCCGUAGGGCCCACAGAAGGUAGAGAGGCUGUCACAGCAAUGGCCCUCGCCAGUCACAUCUCUCAACGGCCACUUCCCUGUAUGGUUCCUUUCAUGACUCAGGGAGAGGCCAAGAAAGUUGGAGCGGCCAGUGGGGCAUCAGCUGAGACAAUCCAAGUGAAGGCUACGAAAACUCCAUACACCGGAAAUUUUCUCGAAAUGCUGUUCUGUCAUAGAUAAGGGGCAGAGAAGUAGGGAUAGAAGACCCCAGGCAUUAAGAGGUACGGCUGGCACCACAUGAGCUCUCUGCAGCUGCUUGACUGAGCCCGAGAGAGACCAGGAAAACUUCCUAGCCAACCCCUAGAGCUGUGAGAAAUAAUAAACUGUCAUUGUUUCAAGUGUUUGGCCAGCUUAUUAUGCAGCAAAGGUGAACAGAAGCUGUUUCCAUACGGUAACUUGAAACUUGAAGCUUUUGAUAAAUGUCAUACAAUCUGGAGCUGCAGAGCUUUCUUCACACCUUAAAUGUUGGCCACAUGGAGACCUGUGGAGACAGUGAUGCUCUCCAGGACUGGCCCACUCAUAGCAGUGGGGAUUCCCCCCACCUUGAUCUUUUCUAUUCAUUGUAAAUUAUUAUCUCUUAGUUGUCUUUCUCUCUCACAAAGUCUGCGUUCUUUGAACAAAGUACAGUAUUGAAAUGGUCCCAAGGGAAACAUUCAUAUUUUUUAAGCUACUGAUCAUCAAAUACCAAUUAUCUUAGGCUUUAAUGUUAUUAAAAUUGCACUUCAGAAGAAAUAAAAAGCUGCUUUUUAUUUGACUAUAUAAUAGUAAUUCUUCUUGGUUGUCAGGAGGAAGAAUACUUAAAGUUGAAAUAAUGCUUGCUCUAAAGCUUGAAAUAAUGCUUGAUCCAAACUGCAACUCUAAGCUGCUGAUCUAACGAACAGAGCCCUGAGGGCAGGGGUCAAAACAGCAAGAAGUGCUGGUAACUGGAGACUUAUCUCUGCUUGAAAAGAAGGACAGGUAAAGUUCAGCUGGGAAUCCCAGAGUCCACACCCCUCUGGCUCCUUGGCCACAGUCCAGUCCAGUCUUCCUUAGUCCUGUCUAGUGACAGCAGCGCAGCGCAAAUCUGAGAAGUCGCUGGAAAAAAUGCUUCAUUCUGAGCGUCUAGGAAUCGGUAAUUCCACUCAGAAUGGGCUAACAUCACUGCCCUAAAGGGGUUCGUGCUCUUGGUAUAGUUCUGUCUUUUUCACGGAGUGACCCCUUCCUAAGGCUUUUCACGUGAAGAAGAAAAUUAAAGUGUUAACAUCAAAAGCUUUUCUAUUUUAAAGAUAUGUACAAAUAACCAUAAGUUUCUUUUACAUACACACAGCCCCUCUCUCUCUCUCUCUCUCUCUCUCUUUCUUUCUCUCUCUCUGGAGGGUCUUUCUCUUACUGUGAAAAAAAUGAAGGGGAAAAAAACCCCAGCUUGCCCAA
Molecule: long non-coding RNA, 4726 nt
Organism: Chinchilla lanigera (long-tailed chinchilla)
Lineage: Eukaryota; Metazoa; Chordata; Mammalia; Rodentia; Chinchillidae
Source: Ensembl